GUAGGGGGCAAGCGUUAUCCGGAUUUACUGGGUGUAAAGGGAGCGUAGACGGAGCAGCAAGUCUGAUGUGAAAACCCGGGGCUCAACCCCGGGACUGCAUUGGAAACUGUUGAUCUGGAGUGCCGGAGAGGUAAGCGGAAUUCCUAGUGUAGCGGUGAAAUGCGUGGAUAUUAGGAGGAACACCAGUGGCGAAGGCGGCUUACUGGACGGUAACUGACGUUGAGGCUCGAAAGCGUGGGGAGCAAACAGGAUUAGAUACCCUGGUAGUCCACGCCGUAAACGAUGACUACUAGGUGUCGGGUGGCAAAGCCAUUCGGUGCCGCAGCCAACGCAAUAAGUAGUCCACCUGGGGAGUACGUUCGCAAGAAUG
Molecule: ribosomal RNA, 370 nt
Filed under: uncultured bacterium
Lineage: Bacteria
Description: bacterial SSU rRNA
Rfam family: Bacterial small subunit ribosomal RNA
Source: RNAcentral